UACAGAGGUCCCAAGCGUUAAUCGGAAUUACUGGGCGUAAAGGGUGCGUAGGCGGUUGUUUAAGUCUGUUGUGAAAUCCCCGGGCUCAACCUGGGAAUGGCAAUGGAUACUGGGCAGCUAGAGUGUGUCAGAGGAUGGUGGAAUUCCCGGUGUAGCGGUGAAAUGCGUAGAGAUCGGGAGGAACAUCAGUGGCGAAGGCGGCCAUCUGGGACAACACUGACGCUGAAGCACGAAAGCGUGGGGAGCAAACAGG
RNAcentral lists this ribosomal RNA (253 nucleotides) under uncultured bacterium. RNAcentral's name for it is "partial 16S ribosomal RNA". It matches the Rfam family "Bacterial small subunit ribosomal RNA", at positions 524 to 776 of the family's 1533-position model. The record is from RNAcentral.